CCUACGGGGGGCAGCAGUGGGGAAUAUUGGACAAUGGGCGAAAGCCUGAUCCAGCCAUGCCGCGUGUGUGAAGAAGGCCUUCGGGUUGUAAAGCACUUUCAGUGGGGAAGAAAGCCUUGGGGCUAAUACCCUCGAGGAAGGACAUCACCCACAGAAGAAGCACCGGCUAACUCCGUGCCAGCAGCCGCGGUAAUACGGAGGGUGCGAGCGUUAAUCGGAAUUACUGGGCGUAAAGCGCGCGUAGGCGGUCUGAUAAGCCGGUUGUGAAAGCCCCGGGCUCAACCUGGGAACGGCAUCCGGAACUGUCAGGCUAGAGUGCAGGAGAGGAAGGUAGAAUUCCCGGUGUAGCGGUGAAAUGCGUAGAGAUCGGGAGGAAUACCAGUGGCGAAGACGGCCUUCUGGACUGACACUGACGCUGAGGUGCGAAAGCGUGGGUAGCAAACAGGAUUAGAUACCCGAGUAGUC
RNAcentral lists this ribosomal RNA (465 nucleotides) under Vreelandella stevensii. Its description in RNAcentral is "partial 16S ribosomal RNA". It matches the Rfam family "Bacterial small subunit ribosomal RNA", at positions 338 to 795 of the family's 1533-position model. The record is from RNAcentral. Lineage: Bacteria; Pseudomonadati; Pseudomonadota; Gammaproteobacteria; Oceanospirillales; Halomonadaceae.